RNAcentral lists this ribosomal RNA (503 nucleotides) under uncultured bacterium. Its description in RNAcentral is "partial 16S ribosomal RNA". It matches the Rfam family "Bacterial small subunit ribosomal RNA", at positions 30 to 523 of the family's 1533-position model. The record is from RNAcentral.
AUUGAACGCUGGCGGCAGGCCUAACACAUGCAAGUCGAGCGGGGUGAUGGUGCUUGCACUAUCACUUAGCGGCGGACGGGUGAGUAAUGCUUAGGAAUCUGCCUAUUAGUGGGGGACAACAUCUCGAAAGGGAUGCUAAUACCGCAUACGUCCUACGGGAGAAAGCAGGGGAUCACUUGUGACCUUGCGCUAAUAGAUGAGCCUAAGUCGGAUUAGCUAGUUGGUGGGGUAAAGGCCUACCAAGGCGACGAUCUGUAGCGGGUCUGAGAGGAUGAUCCGCCACACCGGGACUGAGACACGGCCCAGACACCUACGGGAGGCAGCAGUGGGGAAUAUUGGACAAUGGGGGGAACCCUGAUCCAGCCAUGCCGCGUGUGUGAAGAAGGCCUUAUGGUUGUAAAGCACUUUAAGCGAGGAGGAGGCUCUUUUGGUUAAUACCCAAGAUGAGUGGACGUUACUCGCAGAAUAAGCACCGGCUAACUCUGUGCCAGCCGCCGCAGUAA